Molecule: ribosomal RNA, 1343 nt
Filed under: uncultured bacterium
Lineage: Bacteria
Description: 16S ribosomal RNA
Rfam family: Bacterial small subunit ribosomal RNA
Source: RNAcentral
GACGAACUCUGGCGGCGUGCUUAACACAUGCAAGUCGAACGGAAAGGCCCUGCUUUUGUGGGGUGCUCGAGUGGCGAACGGGUGAGUAACACGUGAGUAACCUGCCCUUGACUUUGGGAUAACUUCAGGAAACUGGGGCUAAUACCGGAUAGGAGCUCCUGCUGCAUGGUGGGGGUUGGAAAGUUUCGGCGGUUGGGGAUGGACUCGCGGCUUAUCAGCUUGUUGGUGGGGUAGUGGCUUACCAAGGCUUUGACGGGUAGCCGGCCUGAGAGGGUGACCGGCCACAUUGGGACUGAGAUACGGCCCAGACUCCUACGGGAGGCAGCAGUGGGGAAUAUUGCACAAUGGGCGGAAGCCUGAUGCAGCAACGCCGCGUGCGGGAUGACGGCCUUCGGGUUGUAAACCGCUUUCGCCUGUGACGAAGCGUGAGUGACGGUAAUGGGUAAAGAAGCACCGGCUAACUACGUGCCAGCAGCCGCGGUGAUACGUAGGGUGCGAGCGUUGUCCGGAUUUAUUGGGCGUAAAGGGCUCGUAGGUGGUUGAUCGCGUCGGAAGUGUAAUCUUGGGGCUUAACCCUGAGCGUGCUUUCGAUACGGGUUGACUUGAGGAAGGUAGGGGAGAAUGGAAUUCCUGGUGGAGCGGUGGAAUGCGCAGAUAUCAGGAGGAACACCAGUGGCGAAGGCGGUUCUCUGGGCCUUUCCUGACGCUGAGGAGCGAAAGCGUGGGGAGCGAACAGGCUUAGAUACCCUGGUAGUCCACGCUGUAAACGGUGGGUACUAGGUGUGGGGUCCAUUCCACGGGUUCCGUGCCGUAGCUAACGCUUUAAGUACCCCGCCUGGGGAGUACGGCCGCAAGGCUAAAACUCAAAGGAAUUGACGGGGCCCCGCACAAGCGGCGGAGCAUGCGGAUUAAUUCGAUGCAACGCGUAGAACCUUACCUGGGUUUGACAUGGAUCGGGAGUGCUCAGAGAUGGGUGUGCCUCUUUUGGGGUCGGUUCACAGGUGGUGCAUGGCUGUCGUCAGCUCGUGUCGUGAGAUGUUGGGUUAAGUCCCGCAACGAGCGCAACCCUUGUUCACUGUUGCCAGCACGUUAUGGUGGGGACUCAGUGGAGACCGCCGGGGUCAACUCGGAGGAAGGUGGGGAUGACGUCAAGUCAUCAUGCCCCUUAUGUCCAGGGCUUCACGCAUGCUACAAUGGCUGGUACAGAGAGUGGCGAGCCUGUGAGGGUGAGCGAAUCUCGGAAAGUCGGUCUCAGUUCGGAUUGGGGUCUGCAACUCGACCUCAUGAAGUCGGAGUCGCUAGUAAUCGCAGAUCAGCAACGCUGCGGUGAAUACGUUCCCGGG